RNAcentral lists this small RNA (574 nucleotides) under Histoplasma capsulatum. RNAcentral's name for it is "hypothetical RNA". Lineage: Eukaryota; Fungi; Ascomycota; Eurotiomycetes; Onygenales; Ajellomycetaceae. The record is from RNAcentral. RNAcentral also lists the same sequence under 1 other name.
GCAUAUUUGUAUUCCAGCUCAUUUAAAUUCCUUUUGAUCUUUCUCUUGUCAUUUGCCUGGAAGAUAUGAAGAGCAUGAGCGGGGAGUGUGAUUACUCGUCAAUUUCUUGCUUUAGGUGGCUUCAUCAAGUUGAGUUCGGAUAUUAGCAUAUGUGGCUAAUUCCUGGGAUUUUCACUCCUGUAAGGCUGCAGGUGGAGCAGGAACUUCCCGAAUCGGUCAAUCGGCUUGGGAUAUUUUAGCCAACCCCGUAUCCAACUUAAACGGAACAUAUCCCAUAUUACAGGCUGAACCGCCGUAGCAAUGACCCAAUGACGAACGGUGACACUCGUGGCUGUUGAAAUGCAAAGCCUCUGCCGCCUUGCUUAUCCAUGGAGGACUAUCCUCUCAAACCGACGAGCUAUGGUUACUAGAAAGCGAGAACACACGGUGGCCAUUGCCAUAAAAAAAAUAGAGACAACUUCAGAGGCAUGUUAAAUACCGUAACAACAGUAAUGGAAAGCUUUACCCAUCAUACCAAGCACUCAGUGACUGGGAGUAUCACCUUACCAAAUUUUCUUACCCUUACAGCCGCCCC